RNAcentral lists this ribosomal RNA (500 nucleotides) under uncultured bacterium. Its description in RNAcentral is "bacterial SSU rRNA". It matches the Rfam family "Bacterial small subunit ribosomal RNA", at positions 899 to 1397 of the family's 1533-position model. The record is from RNAcentral.
ACUCAAAGGAAUAGACGGGGGCCCGCACAAGCAGCGGAGCAUGUGGUUUAAUUCGAAGCAACGCGAAGAACCUUACCAGGACUUGACAUCCCUCUGACCGGUAUAGAGAUAUACCUUUUCUUCGGAACAGAGGAGACAGGUGGUGCAUGGUUGUCGUCAGCUCGUGUCGUGAGAUGUUGGGUUAAGUCCCGCAACGAGCGCAACCCCUAUCUUUAGUUACCAGCACGUAAUGGUGGGGACUUUAGAGAGACUGCCGGGGAUAACUCGGAGGAAGGUGGGGAUGACGUCAAAUCAUCAUGCCCCUUAUGUCCUGGGCUACACACGUGCUACAAUGGCCUGAAACAAAGGGAAGCGAAGCCGCAAGGUGAAGCAAACCCCAUAAACCAGGUCUCAGUUCGGAUUGUGGGCUGCAACUCGCCCACAUGAAGUCGGAGUUGCUAGUAAUCGCGAAUCAGCAUGUCGCGGUGAAUGCGUUCCCGGGCCUUGCACACACCGCCCGU